GAUGAACGCUGGCGGCGUGCCUAAUACAUGCAAGUCGAGCGAACGGACGAGAAGCUUGCUUUUCUGAUGUUAGCGGCGGACGGGUGAGUAACACGUGGAUAACCUACCUAUAAGACUGGGAUAACUUCGGGAACCCGGAGCUAAUACCGGAUAAUAUUUUGAACCGCAUGGUUCAAAAGUGAUAGACGGUCUUGCUGUCACUUAUAGAUGGAUCCGCGCUGCAUUAGCUAGUUGGUAAGGUAACGGCUUACCAAGGCAACGAUGCAUAGCCGACCUGAGAGGGUGAUCGGCCACACUGGAACUGAGACACGGUCCAGACUCCUACGGGAGGCAGCAGUAGGGAAUCUUCCGCAAUGGGCGAAAGCCUGACGGAGCAACGCCGCGUGAGUGAUGAAGGUCUUCGGAUCGCAAAACUCUGUUAUUAGGGAAGAACAUAUGUGUAAGUAACUGUGCACAUCUUGACGGUACCUAAUCAGAAAGCCACGGCUAACUACGUG
This 497-nucleotide ribosomal RNA is filed under the name uncultured bacterium. RNAcentral describes it as "partial 16S ribosomal RNA". It matches the Rfam family "Bacterial small subunit ribosomal RNA", at positions 28 to 507 of the family's 1533-position model. The record is from RNAcentral.